GAAGAAUGAAGCACCCGCCCGCAUUAUUCCAAUUGUAGCAUUGAAUCCCUAUCAGGGUCGGUGGGCUAUUAAGGCUAGAGUGACUGCAAAGGGGGAUUUACGCCGCUAUAAUAAUUCUAGAGGAGAUGGCAAGGUCUUCUUCUUUGAUCUUCUUGACUCUGAUGGGGGUGAAAUACGUGUGACUUGUUUUAAUGCUGUUGUUGAUCGCUUUUAUGACAAAAUUGAAGCUGGAAAAGUAUACAUGAUAUCAAAAGGCAGCUUAAAACCUGCUCAGAAGAAC
Molecule: unclassified non-coding RNA, 280 nt
Filed under: Hevea brasiliensis (rubber tree)
Lineage: Eukaryota; Viridiplantae; Streptophyta; Magnoliopsida; Malpighiales; Euphorbiaceae
Source: RNAcentral